GGUUAUUGUGGAUUAUGGUUUUAAAGAUGAUUGCCCACAUGCAGAUCUGGACAGUUUGCUGGGGUGUAACCAAGCAAAGGAACAAGGGCACAGCAUAAAGACACAGGCACAUCUACUUCUUCUUUGGCAUCCCUUAAUCGGAAAUGAGUCAAAAGGAUUCAAACUGCAGCAGGAUGACAUCGGUGUCUGCAAGCAUCAUCACUCACAUCUGUUUACAAACCAUCUUCAAAAUGCUGAGCAAGAAAAAAACUCAUCAAGCAAUAAAGCAGAUGGAGCUCAAAGAGAAAAAAACCAUAGCUCAGUACUUGUGACACCGUUUGUAAAUACAUCUGCAAGCAAAAAUAUUGAUUAAAAUGAUAGUAUGAAACAAAAUUCCUCUUUACUAUAUCAUAAUUCAUCCUGUGCCCAUGGUUCAAAU
RNAcentral lists this long non-coding RNA (418 nucleotides) under Crocodylus porosus (Australian saltwater crocodile). Its description in RNAcentral is "lncRNA (ENSCPRG00005005978.1)". The record is from RNAcentral. Lineage: Eukaryota; Metazoa; Chordata; Crocodylia; Crocodylidae.